Molecule: ribosomal RNA, 253 nt
Filed under: uncultured bacterium
Lineage: Bacteria
Description: partial 16S ribosomal RNA
Rfam family: Bacterial small subunit ribosomal RNA
Source: RNAcentral
UACGUAGGGGGCAAGCGUUGUCCGGAUUUAUUGGGCGUAAAGAGCGUGUAGGCGGUUUGGUAGGUCCGUUGUGAAAACUCGAGGCUCAACCUCGAGACGCCGGCGGAAACCAUCAGGCUAGAGUCCGGAAGAGGAGAGUGGAAUUCCUGGUGUAGCGGUGAAAUGCGCAGAUAUCAGGAGGAACACCGAUGGCGAAGGCAGGUCUCUGGGCUGACACUGACGCUCAUGCACGAAAGCGUGGGGAGCAAACAGG